UUAAUUAUUCCCCCUGUAUCACACAGUAUAAUGGACAAGCCGGCUUCGUUCGACCGGCCGAUGAUGGAGAAGCAACGCGGAAGACCGGCAACACAGACGCUGACAAACGCUCACAACAGGUAUACUGAGAAUUCUGAUUGGAUGAAGGGGUGGAGUUUGGAACUGCAGAUCGGUGUGAGAGUUUAGUUUAGUUAACGAUGUGACUGGGAGGAAUUCAUGGACCAGUUGGGACUUACCGCGGACGUGCUUUGGAGUAUCGUUGCUAUGGCGAUAAAGGAUCGUGCUGCUGUUCGGUAGAGGAGGGACUACAGAAAGAUCUACAGCUUCAGAGGAGGGAAUUUCGUGUUCCAGCCGCCUGGGAAGCCGUUCAGCUGAUGGACAUCAAAACACUUGAGGCCUCAACCUCGAUGGCUCAGGUCUUUUUGGGUCUCACAAUGAUGGGAGAUAACAUCGGCCACAUAGCGAAGGAG
This is a long non-coding RNA of Tachysurus vachellii, 470 nucleotides long. RefSeq lists it as uncharacterized. The transcript has 4 exons. The record is from RefSeq and is a predicted model, not a curated record. Lineage: Eukaryota; Metazoa; Chordata; Actinopteri; Siluriformes; Bagridae.